RNAcentral lists this ribosomal RNA (366 nucleotides) under uncultured soil bacterium. RNAcentral's name for it is "bacterial SSU rRNA". It matches the Rfam family "Bacterial small subunit ribosomal RNA", at positions 26 to 415 of the family's 1533-position model. The record is from RNAcentral.
AGAACGAACGCUGGCGGCAUGCCUAAUACAUGCAAGUCGAACGAACACUUCGGUGUUAGUGGCGCACGGGUGCGUAACGCGUGGGAAUCUGCCCUUGGGUUCGGAAUAACAGUUGGAAACGACUGCUAAUACCGGAUGAUAUCGAAAGAUCAAAGAUUUAUCGCCCAGGGAUGAGCCCGCGUAGGAUUAGCGUAGUUGGUGAGGUAAAGCUCACCAGGCACGAUCCUAGCUGGUCUGAGAGGAUGAUCAGCCACACGUGGGACUGAGACCGACCGGCCCAGACCUCCGUACGGGAGGCAGCAGGUAGGAUAGUGGACAGUGGGCGACAAGCCUGACGUCCGAGCAAGUCGGACCGACGGUGGACGU